RNAcentral lists this ribosomal RNA (491 nucleotides) under uncultured bacterium. Its description in RNAcentral is "partial 16S ribosomal RNA". It matches the Rfam family "Bacterial small subunit ribosomal RNA", at positions 29 to 507 of the family's 1533-position model. The record is from RNAcentral.
AGUGAACGCUGGCGGUAGGCCUAACACAUGCAAGUCGAACGGCAGCACAGUAAGAGCUUGCUCUUACGGGUGGCGAGUGGCGGACGGGUGAGGAAUACAUCGGAAUCUACUUUUUCGUGGGGGAUAACGUAGGGAAACUUACGCUAAUACCGCAUACGACCUACGGGUGAAAGCAGGGGAUCUUCGGACCUUGCGCGAUUGAAUGAGCCGAUGUCGGAUUAGCUAGUUGGCGGGGUAAAGGCCCACCAGGGCGACGAUCCGUAGCGGGUCUGAGAGGAUGUACGCCCACACUGGAACUGAAAACCGGUCCAGACACUAAGGGAAGGCAGAGGUGGGGAAGUUUGGACAAUGGGGGAAGGCUGAGUCCAGCAAUCCGCGUGGGUGAAAGAGGGCCUUCGGGUGGUAAGGCCCUUUGUUUGGGAAGAAAAGCCAGCGGGUAAAACCCCGGCUGUCCGAACGUAACCAAAAGAAGAAGCACGGGCAAACUCGUG